GCGGGUGUAGCUCAGCGGUAGAGCGUCAGCUUCCCAAGCUGAGGGUCGCGGGUUCAAUUCCCGUCACCCGCU
This 72-nucleotide transfer RNA is filed under the name Geodia barretti. It matches the Rfam family "tRNA". Rfam says of the family: Transfer RNA (tRNA) molecules are approximately 80 nucleotides in length. RNAcentral also lists the same sequence under 2 other names. The record is from Rfam by way of RNAcentral. Lineage: Eukaryota; Metazoa; Porifera; Demospongiae; Tetractinellida; Geodiidae.